AGGGCACCACCAGGAGUGGAGCCUGCGGCUUAAUUUGACUCAACACGGGAAAUCUCACCAGGCCCGGACACCGGAAGGAUUGACAGAUUGAGAGCUCUUUCUUGAUUCGGUGGGUGGUGGUGCAUGGCCGUUCUUAGUUGGUGGAGCGAUUUGUCUGGUUAAUUCCGAUAACGAACGAGACUCUGGCCUACUAAAUAGACGUUAGAUCCCUUUGUGGGUCUAUCGCAGCUUCUUAGAGGGACGGGCGGCGUUCAGCCGCACGAGAUUGAGCAAUAACAGGUCUGUGAUGCCCUUAGAUGUUCUGGGCUGCACGCGCGCUACACUGAAGGAAUCAGCGUGUGUUCCCUGCCCGAAAGGACUGGGAAACCCGUUGAACCUCCUUCGUGAUGGGGAUUGGGGAUUGCAAUUAUUCCCCAUGAACGAGGAAUUCCCAGUAGGCGCGAGUCCUAAGCUUGCGUCGAUUACGUCCCUGCCCUUUGUACACACCGCCCGUCGCUACUACCGAUCGAGUGAUUUAGU
RNAcentral lists this ribosomal RNA (519 nucleotides) under uncultured eukaryote. RNAcentral's name for it is "SSU rRNA". It matches the Rfam family "Eukaryotic small subunit ribosomal RNA", at positions 1161 to 1702 of the family's 1831-position model. The record is from RNAcentral.